Molecule: long non-coding RNA, 428 nt
Organism: Sapajus apella (tufted capuchin)
Lineage: Eukaryota; Metazoa; Chordata; Mammalia; Primates; Cebidae
Exons: 4
Source: RefSeq, a predicted model, not a curated record
CAUGUUGAUCAGGCUGGGUAGGAGCCAGGAAGGGGAUGGCUUGGCCUUGCUGUCUUAAAGAGGAGAAGGUGGGAGAGGUGAAGGAGGUGGAAGGAGAGGCAGGCACCACUGGGUGUAACACUGGAAAAACUACUGAGAAGAAAAAUACGUGUGGAUACAAGUGGAUCUGCACAGUUCCCAUGUUGUUCAUUGGCCAGCUGUACUUUUUAUUAUAUGACAGGAUAUCUCUAGUGAGAAGAGGUCCUCAGAUGCUGUGGAAAGGAAUGAGAGGAUUCAGUUGCAUUUGUCACUAAACCCCAGCAGGCAGUGCCAUCCCUUCCUUGCUUGGCCUUGAUGUGGCUUCUCUGAGUGCCUAAUGUCUUUUUGUUGUUGUUAGAUGGAGCCUUGCUCUGUCACCCAGGCUGGAGUGCAGGGGCACAAUUGUGAUA